This 842-nucleotide ribosomal RNA is filed under the name uncultured bacterium. RNAcentral describes it as "bacterial SSU rRNA". It matches the Rfam family "Bacterial small subunit ribosomal RNA", at positions 26 to 871 of the family's 1533-position model. The record is from RNAcentral.
AGAUUGAACGCUGGCGGCAUGCCUAACACAUGCAAGUCGAACGAGAGUAGGGGGCAACCCUUACUUUAGUGGCGGACGGGUGCGGAAUGCGUAGGAAUCUACCUUAAAGUGGGGAAUAACCCGGGGAAACUCGAGCUAAUACCGCAUAUUCUCUACGGAGUAAAGGGGGCGCAAGCUCUCGCUUUAAGAUGAGCCUACGUCGGAUUAGCUAGUUGGUAGGGUAAAGGCCUACCAAGGCAAUGAUCCGUAGCUGGUCUGAGAGGAUGACCAGCCACACUGGGACUGAGAUACGGCCCAGACUCCUACGGGAGGCAGCAGUGGGGAAUAUUGGACAAUGGGGGAAACCCUGAUCCAGCAAUGCCGCGUGUGUGAAGAAGGCCUUCGGGUUGUAAAGCACUUUCAGUGGGGAGGAACGAUUCAGGGUUAAUACCCCUGAGUUUUGACGUUACCUACAGAAGAAGCACCGGCUAACUCUGUGCCAGCAGCCGCGGUAAUACAGAGGGUGCAAGCGUUAAUCGGAAUUACUGGGCGUAAAGCGUGCGUAGGCGGAUAUUUAAGUCGAAUGUGAAAUCCCUGGGCUUAACCUGGGAACUGCAUCCGAUACUGGGUAUCUGGAGUAUGAUAGAGGAAAGUGGAAUUCCCGGUGUAGCGGUGAAAUGCGUAGAUAUCGGGAGGAACAUCAGUGGCGAAGGCGACUUUCUGGAUCAAUACUGACGCUGAGGCACGAAAGCGUGGGGAGCAAACAGGAUUAGAUACCCUGGUAGUCCACGCUGUAAACUAUGAGAACUGGACGUUGGAGGGCUUGUCCCUUUAGUGUCGAAGCUAACGCGUUAAGUUCUCCG